UUAAAAAGCUCGUAGUUGGAUUUCGGAGUGGGCCAGUUGGUCCGCCGCAAGGUGUGUUACUGACUGGUCUGCUCUUCUUCGCAAAAACUGCGUGUGCUCUUUGUUGAGUGUGCGUAGGAUUUACGACGUUUACUUUGAAAAAAUUAGAGUGUUCAAAGCAGGCUAUUGCUUGAAUACAUGAGCAUGGAAUAAUGGAAUAGGACUUUGGUCCCAUUUUGUUGGUUUCUAGGACCGAAGUAAUGAUUAAGAGGGACAAUUGGGGGCAUCCGUAUUUCGUUGUCAGAGGUGAAAUUCUUGGAUUUACGAAAGAC
RNAcentral lists this ribosomal RNA (311 nucleotides) under uncultured marine eukaryote. RNAcentral describes it as "SSU rRNA". It matches the Rfam family "Eukaryotic small subunit ribosomal RNA", at positions 619 to 936 of the family's 1831-position model. The record is from RNAcentral.